GGCACUAGAUAAAUGUUUGCUGGAAUUCAGCCCUUGAUUUUCAGCUUAGUGUUGUGAGCAAGUCCAUUUUAUUCAGCGAUGAUCUCUGAGGUGGCUUCACAGUCCGAUUCCUCUAACCCAGCUAGCACCUCUAAUUACAUGUUCAGUUGGUGUUUGUCAAGAAUCAACAUAUCCCUGCCCAUCUCUGUUACCACUCAAGCUGCUGUAUUCCCGGAGCUAUUCUUAGACAUUAAGUGAAAUAAUUGCAGGUUAGGAAGAAGAAGGAAAAAAAGGCUAGAAACUAGCAUAAAAAACAAAGGUCUAAGUUUGAUUUCUGGAUUUGAUUACCUAUUCCCCAAGGAGUUAACAGUACUAUGAAAAUGCAUGUUAGUCUGGGGCUUGUAUAGUAGGGAAGUCCAAAAUAAUUCCAGAUGGACAAAUACAAGCAAAUGGCUGUUACAAGUUUCAUGUUAAACACAUGAAAAGGGACCCGUGUUUUACAGCAUAGAGAUAUUUAUUGAUCAGUAUGUGGUGGACACUGUUUUAAGCAGUGAGAAUCUUCUGUGAACAGGUAGAUGACAUGUCUGCAUUUAUGAAUAUCUGAGUAGGAACAAUGAACAAAUAAUAUAAUUUAAUGUAACAUAUGCAAUGCUGUCAAACAUACAGGAGAAUUUCAAUCUAUCAAAAUGUAAAAAUAAAACAUGAUAGGUGACAGGGCGGCCAAAGUGACUAGGGGUGGGGGUGGGAGAUGGGGAGAGUUGGUCCUCGGAAACACAAAUGUCUGGAUGCUGUACAAAAACCUCUUCAGGAUCUGAAGGCUAAAAAGGAAACAGCCACUUAGACAAAUGCAUUGUCCCAAUAUGUUCAAAAGCCACCUUAGAACAACCGCGCCCAGAAAACAAACAAUUUUGAACCUAAACAACGAUUAGAAAUGUUUGAGUUUAAGGGAAAAUAGCUUUUCCAUUGCACACAAGCAGGGUCUUUCCCAGAGAUGAUCUGUAGUCAGUUGUACUAUCAUGUAACAUACGUGUUUCCAAAAUUACCACUCUAUGCCAAAUGGCAUAAUAAAGCCCAUAAAGCUUAGGGGAAAAGGCUGGGGCACAACACACAAAAACUUUGUCAUAUCUCAGUGUAAUGUGUCUCCGGACACAUUUUUAAAAAGGUACAAACCGAAUAAAAAUGGUAGCAUAGUUUUACACACAAUGAAUAGUUAAGAAAUACACAAAAUGCUUACCUUGAAAAACACUUGAAGUUUGCUUAUGAGAGUGUGCGUUGGAAUGUUUACAGCAUGUGAGUUGUUGUGAAGUGGUAGGAGGGAAGUUACCUGAAAUCUGACGGAAAUGUGCAACACCAGAUACAGAUAAUGUAGCUGUAAUACACAAGGCAAGUGGACGGGGCUGGUAGAUGUUUGAGGGGUGGGUGUGUGCGUGUGCGCGCGUUCUACGUACUUUUACACAGCUGGUUUCAGCUGGGGGCAGUUUUCUGCAUUCAUCUAAUUUUUCUCAUUGACAAAAUCAUGCAUAAGCAAACACAGCAUUUGAAUUAUCCUCAAAUUCUUCCUUAAUAUAUCAAUUACAGUAGAACAAAUUUAUAUUUUCAAAACUGUUUGAUAGCAGAACUGACUAUAAUUUAGGUGGUAGUUUAAAAGUACGGGUGGAGGGAAGAAACCCUACUUGACAGCACAGGAAAAA
Long non-coding RNA from Macaca fascicularis (crab-eating macaque), 1670 nucleotides. Lineage: Eukaryota; Metazoa; Chordata; Mammalia; Primates; Cercopithecidae. The record is from Ensembl.